AAGACACAAGAUAUCACACAAACACAUAGUAAAGCACAGAAGCAGAUGACAUAACAUAAAUACGGCACCCAUAAGGAAUAUAAAACAGAGGAAAGCAGCGGAAAGCACACAGAUUCGUAAUAAGCAUGGAACACUGAAUACGGAAUCAUAACGAAAAAAAAAAAAAUACCCCACCGCUGUAACUGUUCCAUGUCCCGCCUAAUCACCUCACCCCAGUACUUCUUCGGUCUACCCCUACCCCGUCUAAAACCAUCCAACGCUAGCCUCUCAC
Molecule: long non-coding RNA, 271 nt
Filed under: Capsicum annuum
Lineage: Eukaryota; Viridiplantae; Streptophyta; Magnoliopsida; Solanales; Solanaceae
Description: long non-coding RNA (CANN_LNC000706)
Source: RNAcentral